RNAcentral lists this long non-coding RNA (588 nucleotides) under Bos mutus (wild yak). RNAcentral describes it as "lncRNA (ENSBMUG00000012232.1)". Lineage: Eukaryota; Metazoa; Chordata; Mammalia; Artiodactyla; Bovidae. The record is from RNAcentral.
GGUGGACUCUGCUGGCACGGGCUUGGGCGAGGUGGCAGCUGCAGCUGUGGGUGGCUUUGUUCUUAGAAGCAGCUCUCAGGGCUGUGGUCCAGCCUGGCAGCAGUGUUCCGGGAAUAGGUGAGACAGGAGAGCUGCCCCCUGGUAGCAGUGCCCCCUUCCACCACGGCAAUGCUCUCUUUCUGUUGACAGCUGGAGAGCCUUGCUCCCUGGGGUCACCAGCCAGGCUCACUGCUUGGCAGGGUGGGUGUUGUGCUUGCAUGUGGCCUGCCUUCCAGAGGGGAGAGGCCCUGCAGGGUCUGGCGCUCCGGAGUUGGGCUGCUCACAGACCAAGCUGUCUGUUUGUAUGGAGUGCCUGGAGGGCGUCUGCCACGAGUCUGGUGCUAACCGUGCUAACCAGGAGAGCUGGCUGGUUGGGGAGAAGACACUAACCCUGAGCUGUUGGCCAGAGGAAGUGGCUGGGCCGUGGGAUGCAGAGAGCCACAGGCUGACUCCCGGACAGCGGAACAGAGAGUGCUGCCGACGGACAGACGGUAUGUUCGCAGUGAGGCCUGCGCCCCCCACUGGGCCCCCUCCUGGGGAGGCUGGCAG